UACAGAGGUCCCAAGCGUUGUUCGGAAUUACUGGGCGUAAAGGGCUCGUAGGCGGCCAACUAAGUCAGACGUGAAAUCCCUCGGCUUAACCGGGGAACUGCGUCUGAUACUGGAUGGCUUGAGAUUGGGAGAGGGAUGCGGAAUUCCAGGUGUAGCGGUGAAAUGCGUAGAUAUCUGGAGGAACACCGGUGGCGAAGGCGGCAUCCUGGACCAACACUGACGCUGAGUGAGCGAAAGCCAGGGGAGCAAACGGG
RNAcentral lists this ribosomal RNA (254 nucleotides) under uncultured bacterium. RNAcentral describes it as "partial 16S ribosomal RNA". It matches the Rfam family "Bacterial small subunit ribosomal RNA", at positions 524 to 776 of the family's 1533-position model. The record is from RNAcentral.